Olea europaea var. sylvestris is the source of this 814-nucleotide long non-coding RNA. RefSeq lists it as uncharacterized. NCBI's taxonomy places the organism in Eukaryota, Viridiplantae, Streptophyta, Magnoliopsida, Lamiales, Oleaceae. The record is from RefSeq and is a predicted model, not a curated record. The transcript is spliced from 3 exons.
AGACCAAACAUUGGCUUUGUAUUCUUGAUUUACUUAUCAAUGGGGAAGUUCUUUUAUGCUGUUGUUCCUGUUGCAUUCCUUGCACAUAUUUCUGAUUUCUUUUGAAUUCACGCCACCAUUAUAUUGAGAUAAAUGUUACAAGUGGUUUAUUAAAAAUCUUGAAAUAUAACUGUUUCAAUUUUUUCUUUGAUUCGACAUACUACAUUUUUUGUUUCAGGAAUAUAAUGACACGUUGUUGAUUACUUACCUUGCCAUGUUCACCAAUUGCUCGAGCACAAUGAAUGAGAUGGUAGAUAAGUUCAACACUGCAUAUGACAGGCAUAGUAGGAGAGGUGGACGAUCGGCUUUCAUCUGAAAGUACUUCUGGCAUCUCCUUGCGUCCUCGGUCUGCUUUUACAACAUUUACAAAUCAAGGAAUAACAUUUCCAAUUAAUCAAAACGAGUUGUGAAAGUACAGGAACCAAAUAUUUCUUGUUUCUUUGUUUCUAAUAGUGGCUAUGCCAUUACCGGAUUUCUUAUCAUUUUGCAGGUUUUUUUUUUUUUUUCUUUUCUUUGGAGGAAAUUGAAGAUAUGAUUUCAAGAUAGUACACACAUUUUGAUAAUCGUGAUGCAGAUCUUUUUGUUUGUUAUUGGCAUUCGCAAUAUGUUUUUAUGAAUUUAUCUGUGCUGCUAUGCUGUAUUCAUUGUGCUUCUUAGCGAGGACCUAUGCAAUUUCUUUUAAAGGAAUGAAGGUUCUGCUGCAGUUGGAGAAUUUCAUUUAUUGACAAACAGCAUGCGGUGAAAUAGAUUUCUUUUCGAAGGCACAGAUGCCUUG